AUGUGUCUUUGUGCUGCUGGUGGAUCCUUUCUCGCUGCUACCGUCUCUCGUUUCUAUCUCUUUGCCCAUCUAAUCUUUCCUUCACUCUCUUUCUUUUUUUCCCCUCUCAGGCACACACACACACACACACACACACACUCGAUUUCUUUUUGUCUCCCCAGGUGUGCACUGGUCCAGGUGUAUGUCUUCGCGGGAGCUCAUCACUGCUCUAAUGAGAAUGAUCACCGCUCAUCUGUCUUCAUCCACAUCCAACAGAGAGCACCUGCUACUAUCUGUGUUCUGGGAGUUGCUGGCACCUCAUCAAGCCACACACACUCCUCGUUCUCUGAUGAGCGUUGAUGCCUGUUCGGCCUCUAAUGUGCCCGAGGUGAAAAAUGAGGUUGACGUAGACAUGGUUAACCAUAAUGCCAAGGCGGAUGCCACCCGAUAGCAGCCAGACACCUGAGAAAGCAGGCCUGGGUCCAGCUCACCACUCACCCCCCUCUCCACUUAUAUUAUUCAUCCCUCUUUGAAAUGCCUUUUAUGCUGCUCAAUUACCCCUCCAGCGGCCCAGUGUGGACACUGUAAUGACAUUCUGAUUAUCAGUCUGUAAAUGAGAAAUGAAAUGAGUGUGUGAUGCCGUGCCAGGGGAAGAAUGGAGCGGCUAGAAGCCUUUCAAAAAUGGGAGCCGUGGAGGAGGCGGAGGA
RNAcentral lists this long non-coding RNA (686 nucleotides) under Sparus aurata (gilthead seabream). RNAcentral describes it as "lncRNA (ENSSAUG00010027204.1)". Lineage: Eukaryota; Metazoa; Chordata; Actinopteri; Spariformes; Sparidae. The record is from RNAcentral.